CGGGCAUGAGAACUGGAAUGCCUAUCACGGUCAAGGCUGCAAGGCUGAAAUGCUGCUGACCCCUGAAUCUAGGACUAUCAGCAUGUUAAAUAACACCUGCUUUAGUCUCAGGGUCCCAGGAACUGGGAACAGACAGAAAUCUCUGGGGAGGAAUCAAGAAGCCCACUGGGGAAGGCUGAAGUCUACCAAAGAGGAUUGGUGACAUCAGGCUUGACAAACAAAUGACAACAGGGGUCGGCAAACUGGAAGGUCCAACGUGGACGUACAGUUUACCCCACGCAGGCAUGGAGAGGGGCCUAAAGGACGUGUCUUCCAUCCCGAGCUCACUGGCUGGUAGGAUGUGAAAGAAACGAGAAGUGCACAGUUGAAUCCCACAGUUUCCCGAUGGAAACUGAGCUGGGGUAAAACACAAGGAGACCAGGGCCAUGGUGAAGGUCUUCGAACAACAUCAUUCUUGACCUGGAUGCGUGAGGACAAUUAUUUGGCUGUAAAAAGAUGUUUCAGGGACAGAGGUAGAGUCCCCUCGCCCGCUGACAAACAAAUCCAUCAGAGCUCGGCGCUCCAGCCUCCGACUGGUCCUUCUAGGCCAUCUGCCGUAGGGCCACCAGAAUGGCAACUGGAUAAAGCAGGCAAACAAAAGCACCAACAAAACAAGGCCAGUUAAGAUUUUGUUACCUGAUUCAAAAAAAAAAAAAAAAAAAAAAAAAAGAA
Vulpes vulpes (red fox) is the source of this 711-nucleotide long non-coding RNA. NCBI's taxonomy places the organism in Eukaryota, Metazoa, Chordata, Mammalia, Carnivora, Canidae. The record is from Ensembl.